GGGAAAACUGCUGGAGGAGCCUCAGUGACCCGUGGCAGGGCUGACAUCCCUGAGCUCUGUGUUGUUAACCUAAUCCAGAACACAGUAGUGAAGGGAACUCUGGGUCAAAUCCGUUAUGGCGGAAAGAGAGAACAUUAUGAAGACUGGCUUCCCAGGUUUGAGACCCAGCUCUGCCACUUCCUGGCUUUGUCAACAGAGGACAGACAAGGGGAGAGAGUGCUUACCCUGAAGCGGUGUGAGAGCCAAGCAGGAAACACGAAAUGGAAAGUGUGAGUGAUUCUUGCCAGCGGAGGAUGCGAGACAACGGAUUUCAAAGAGUGGCUCUGAAGAUUCAAACUACCUAGGUGUGAAUCCUGCGUGUCCUUGAGCAUCUGGGGAUGAUAAUAGUACCUGCCUCAUUGAGAGAAGGUGCAUGUAACGCUGUUAGCAGGGUGCCUGGCGUGUGGUAGAUGUUCAAUAAACUGCGUAUGUUUUCUGAUAA
This is a long non-coding RNA of Suricata suricatta (meerkat), 481 nucleotides long. RefSeq lists it as uncharacterized. NCBI's taxonomy places the organism in Eukaryota, Metazoa, Chordata, Mammalia, Carnivora, Herpestidae. The record is from RefSeq and is a predicted model, not a curated record. The transcript is spliced from 4 exons.